RNAcentral lists this ribosomal RNA (506 nucleotides) under uncultured bacterium. RNAcentral's name for it is "partial 16S ribosomal RNA". It matches the Rfam family "Bacterial small subunit ribosomal RNA", at positions 29 to 523 of the family's 1533-position model. The record is from RNAcentral.
AGUGAACGCUGGCGGUAGGCCUAACACAUGCAAGUCGAACGGCAGCACAGGAGAGCUUGCUCUCUGGGUGGCGAGUGGCGGACGGGUGAGGAAUACAUCGGAAUCUACUCUGUCGUGGGGGGUAACGUAGGGAAACUUACGCUAAUACCGCAUACGACCUACGGGUGAAAGCAGGGGACCUUCGGGCCUUGCGCGAUUGAAUGAGCCGAUGUCGGAUUAGCGAGUUGGCGGGGUAAAGGCCCACCAAGGCGACGAUCCGUAGCUGGUCUGAGAGGAUGAUCAGCCACACUGGAACUGAGACACGGUCCAGACUCCUACGGGAGGCAGCAGUGGGGAAUAUUGGACAAUGGGCGCAAGCCUGAUCCAGCCAUACCGCGUGGGUGAAGAAGGCCUUCGGGUUGUAAAGCCCUUUUGUUGGGAAAGAAAUCCAGCUGGCUAAUACCCGGUUGGGAUGACGGUACCCAAAGAAUAAGCACCGGCUAACUUCGUGCCAGCAGCCGCCGCCG